UCGAAAGGAUAAGUCUUUAAGAAAACUAUCUUCGAUUAAAAAUAAAAAUGCACAUAGUUUUUUCUUCGGUUUAAGAAAGAUAUAUUGUAACCUCAAAAAGCAAGAUUCAGCUUCUUUAUUACAAUCAUCACAACUCAACAUAUAUAGUCAUUAAAAGUCUUUUGAUUAGAGCGCAUGAAGCAGAGAAUUAUAUAUUUAGAUCCUUUCAUGAAGAUUUGAUUGCAUAGGUUGAACACGAAAUGAAAAUGGCAUCUGGGAAUUGAAAUCUUCCACUCUCAUCAAAUUGAUCAUUAUCCGUUUCUCUCCCACCUUCCACUGCCAUGCGUUGAUGCUGCUGAAAAAAUACAAUGCCACAAAAAUAUUAUAUGCAAUGAAAGAUAAAUUAUAUACUAAUGAUAAAUGAACAAUUUGAUUGAUAGGGUAAAUGUGUCUCAUGCUUUCAUGGAGUCGGCAGUGUUAUUUCUUAAGUGUAAGGUGGGCUCUCUUCCAUUUACCAUGGCCGAUCCAAUGCAUUUGUAUGCCUAGAGCAAAUUUGAAUUGAGGCCUUUUAAAUAUGUU
RNAcentral lists this long non-coding RNA (558 nucleotides) under Medicago truncatula (barrel medic). RNAcentral describes it as "long non-coding RNA (MTRU_LNC000371)". Lineage: Eukaryota; Viridiplantae; Streptophyta; Magnoliopsida; Fabales; Fabaceae. The record is from RNAcentral.